This 915-nucleotide ribosomal RNA is filed under the name Alkalibacterium sp. PF2-20. RNAcentral's name for it is "bacterial SSU rRNA". It matches the Rfam family "Bacterial small subunit ribosomal RNA", at positions 62 to 959 of the family's 1533-position model. The record is from RNAcentral. Lineage: Bacteria; Bacillati; Bacillota; Bacilli; Lactobacillales; Carnobacteriaceae.
UCGACGCUGAAGCACUCUGCUUGCAGAGUGURGAUGAGUGGCGAACGGGAGAGUAACACGUGGGGAACCUGCCCAUAAGAGGGGGAUAACAUCCGGAAACGGGUGCUAAUACCGCAUAGGUGAUCAUAGCGCAUGCUUAGAUCAUUAAAGAUGGCUUCGGCUAUCGCUUAUGGAUGGCCCCGCGGCGUAUUAGCUAGUUGGUGAGGUAAUGGCUCACCAAGGCUGUGAUACGUAGCCGACCUGAGAGGGUGAUCGGCCACACUGGAACUGAGACACGGUCCAGACUCCUACGGGAGGCAGCAGUAGGGAAUCUUCCACAAUGGGCGAAAGCCUGAUGGAGCAAUACCGCGUGAGUGAAGAAGGUCUUCGGAUCGUAAAGCUCUGUUGUUAGAGAAGAACAAGAGGUGUAGUAACUGGCACCUCCUUGACGGUAUCUAACCAGAAAGUCACGGCUAACUACGUGCCAGCAGCCGCGGUAAUACGUAGGUGACAAGCGUUGUCCGGAUUUAUUGGGCGUAAAGCGAGCGCAGGCGGUCUUUUAAGUCUGAUGUGAAAGCCCACGGCUCAACCGUGGAGGGUCAUUGGAAACUGGAAGACUUGAAUGCAGAAGAGGAAAGUGGAAUUCCAUGUGUAGCGGUGAAAUGCGUAGAUAUAUGGAGGAACACCAGUGGCGAAGGCGACUUUCUGGUCUGUAAUUGACGCUGAGGCUCGAAAGCGUGGGGAGCGAACAGGAUUAGAUACCCUGGUAGUCCACGCCGUAACGAUGAGUGCUAAGUGUUGGAGGGUUUCCGCCCUUCAGUGCUGGAGCUAACGCAUUAAGCACUCCGCCUGGGGAGUACGGCCGCAAGGCUGAACUCAAAGGGAAUUGACGGGAACCCGCACAGCGGUGGAGCAUGGUGGGUUAAUUCGAAGCAA